CCUACGGGUGGCAGCAGUGGGGAAUAUUGCGCAAUGGGCGAAAGCCUGACGCAGCGACGCCGCGUGAGGGAUGAAGGUCUUCGGAUCGUAAACCUCUGUCAGCAGGGAAGAACGGUCACUGUGCUAAUCAGCAGUGAAUUGACGGUACCUGCAAAGGAAGCACCGGCUCACUCCGUGCCAGCAGCCGCGGUAAUACGGAGGGGGCGAGCGUUAAUCGGAAUUACUGGGCGUAAAGCGCUCGUAGGCGGUAUGUCAAGUCAAGGGUGAAAUCCCCGCGCUCAACGGGGGAACUGCCUUUGAUACUGGCAAACUGGAGAGUGUGAGAGGAUAGUGGAAUGCCAGGUGUAGGGGUGAAAUGCGUAGAUAUCUGAAGGAACAUCAGUGGCGAAGGCGACUAUCUGGCACAUAACUGACGCUGAGGAGCGAAAGCGUGGGUAGCAAACAGGAUUAGAUACCCCAGUAGUC
Molecule: ribosomal RNA, 465 nt
Filed under: uncultured bacterium
Lineage: Bacteria
Description: partial 16S ribosomal RNA
Rfam family: Bacterial small subunit ribosomal RNA
Source: RNAcentral